Molecule: ribosomal RNA, 390 nt
Filed under: Patescibacteria group bacterium
Lineage: Bacteria
Description: partial 23S ribosomal RNA
Rfam family: Bacterial large subunit ribosomal RNA
Source: RNAcentral
CUCGAUGUCGGCUCAUCGCAUCCUGGGGCUGAAGAAGGUCCCAAGGGUUUGGCUGUUCGCCAAUUAAAGCGGUACGCGAGCUGGGUUCAGAACGUCGUGAGACAGUUCGGUCUCCUAUCUGCCGUGGGCGUUGAAAUUUGAGAAGGCUCUUCCCUAGUACGAGAGGACCGGAAAGAACGAACCUCUAGUCAACGAGCUGUCCUGUCUGGGGCAAAAGCUCGGUAGCUACGUUCGGUUUGGAUAAGCGCUGAAAGCAUCUAAGCGCGAAGCCGUCUUCAAGAUUAGAUCUCAUUAUGAGCUUCCUGGGAGACUACCAGGUUGAUAGGCUCUACGUGUAAGUCCGGUAACGGAUUCAGCGGAGGAGUACUAAUCAAGCCACAUUGCAAUCAC